AUCUGGCCAUGGGAAGCUUGUUACAAGAGGGAUUCUACUGUGAACAUCUACUUUUUAAAGGAUAGAAGAUGGAGUUGAGAGAGAGAAACAAGGUGAGAAUAUGGCACAAAACAUGGAAAUCCACAUUGGAAAAUUCACUAAGAUUUUAAAAUCCAAAAUACGAGUGUCUCUAAGAGAGCAGACAUUGUUAUGGUUUAAAAAUGUAUUUCCAUAUUGGAAGGAAAAGAUAAGUCAAUUCCAAUAAUUAGCAUAUGGUUAGUUCUUAGGGAAGUGUCUGUUGCUACACAAUAACCAAAUGUUUUCUUUUUUUAAGUAACAACCACAAAUGUAAUAGCUUAAAAUAGCAUACACUGAUUGUUUCACAUUUCUGUGGGUCAGGAAUGUGGGCAUGCCUUAACUGGGUCUUCUCUUUGGGUCUCACAGACCUGUAAUCACUGUCAGGUAAGGCUGCAUUGUUUCCUGGUGCUUGGCAGUUUCUUCCAGGGAUGUGUGUUUGUUGGCAGGAUUUAGUUCCUUGCUGUUGGUCCAACUGAGGUUCCUGUUUCCUGUUGACCACUGGUCACCACUAAGUCAGCUGGCUACCUCCCAGAGUUUCUUGCCAGGUGAACCUCGCAUAGAUCUUUUUAGAACAUGGCAGCCUGGUCAAAGGCAGCAGGAGAAUCUCUUGCCCCAGAGAGAAACGUCUCUGCCAAUUUAGAGUCAUAUAUCACAUUUUGUAGUUGUAAGAAUGACAUCCUAUCACUUUUGCCAUCUUUGAUUUGAAGCAAAUCACACAUUCUGCCCGUAUUCCAGGGCAGAAGCUACAACAGGGAUGUGACUCGUCUGGGUUCACCAGAGGAAUGUCUGCCAUACUGGAUUACCUGCAAAAUCCAGUUCUCAAAGGGGCUGAAAACUCAGUUCUCGAAGAACCAGGAUGUCUUCAGCUGAUGUACACUUGACCUUGAGUGUCACAGUAUCAUGGGACCAUUGAGGCUCAACUUGUGGCCAGAGGCACAAUGGAGUUAUGUUUCCAGGCAAGGUGA
This is a long non-coding RNA of Heterocephalus glaber (naked mole-rat), 1022 nucleotides long. The record is from Ensembl. Lineage: Eukaryota; Metazoa; Chordata; Mammalia; Rodentia; Bathyergidae.